RNAcentral lists this transfer RNA (66 nucleotides) under Greenidea psidii. RNAcentral describes it as "tRNA-Phe". The record is from RNAcentral. Lineage: Eukaryota; Metazoa; Arthropoda; Insecta; Hemiptera; Aphididae.
AUUUAAAUAGCUUAAAAUUAAGAGCAUUAUAUUGAAGAUAUAAAGGUAAUUUUUUAUUUUUAAAUA